This is a non-coding RNA of Candidatus Staskawiczbacteria bacterium, 71 nucleotides long. NCBI's taxonomy places the organism in Bacteria, Candidatus Staskawicziibacteriota. The record is from Rfam.
GGGGCCAUAGCUCACACUGGGAGAGCGUCCCGCUUGCGGGAAGGUUGUGGGUUCAAAUCCCUCUGGCUCCA